UAGCGGUGAAAUGCGCAGAUAUCAGGAGGAACACCGAUGGGCGAAGGCAGGUCUCUGGGCCAUAACUGACGCUGAGAAGCGAAAGCAUGGGGAGCGAACAGGAUUAGAUACCCUGGUAGUCCAUGCCGUAAACGUUGGGCGCUAGGUGUGGGGCUCAUUCCACGAGUUCUGUGCCGCAGCUAACGCAUUAAGCGCCCCGCCUGGGGAGUACGGCCGCAAGGCUAAAACUCAAAGGAAUUGACGGGGGCCCGCACAAGCGGCGGAGCAUGCGGAUUAAUUCGAUGCAACGCGAAGAACCUUACCAAGGCUUGACAUACACCGGAAAAGUGCAGAGAUGUGCUCCCCGUAAGGUCGGUGUACAGGUGGUGCAUGGUUGUCGUCAGCUCGUGUCGUGAGAUGUUGGGUUAAGUCCCGCAACGAGCGCAACCCUCGUUCCAUGUUGCCAGCACGUAAUGGUGGGGACUCAUGGGAGACUGCCGGGGUCAACUCGGAGGAAGGUGGGGAUGACGUCAAAUCAUCAUGCCCCUUAUGUCUUGGGCUUCACGCAUGCUACAAUGGCCGGUACAAAGGGUUGCGAUACCGUGAGGUGGAGCGAAUCCCAAAAAACUGGUCUCAGUUCGGAUUGGGGUCUGCAACUCGACCCCAUGAAGUCGGAGUCGCUAGUAAUCGCAGAUCAGCAACGCUGCGGUGAAUACGUUCCCGGGCCUUGUACACACCGCCCGUCAAGUCACGAAAGUCGGUAACACCCGAAGCCGGUGGCCUAACCCUUGUGGGGGGAGCCGUCGAAGGUGGGACUGGCGAUUGGGACUAAGUCGUAACAAGGUAACCGUA
This 831-nucleotide ribosomal RNA is filed under the name uncultured bacterium. RNAcentral's name for it is "bacterial SSU rRNA". It matches the Rfam family "Bacterial small subunit ribosomal RNA", at positions 676 to 1504 of the family's 1533-position model. The record is from RNAcentral.